CGGAGUGCCUGCCACUCCGGGAACAAAAGCCAUGGGAGGUCGGCUCUCUACCCCGCGGCACAAGUUACAGCCAAAGUCCACGCGGGUGGGGGGCCAACAGACAGGCUCUCCACUGUUAAUCUUUAUUAACGCGGUCUGGGGAGUGGCUUGGGGUUCCCAGGGGCAGGAUUGGGACCCGGAAACUCCACCUUGACAAUCUUUUUUUGGUUUGGAGAUACCGAGAUACUGGGAAGGCCUCUCCCGGGGCACCGGCUUCAAGGAGUUCAAAUAUACCUCCCUAAGUCUGUGCUGAGAGCCAAGUCCCUGAAGCUACAGCCCAAGGUUUUAAAAAUCAGGACCAAGGAGAGAAGUUUUAGUUCGUCUGUGAGAUAGAAGACUCUGUUUCAUCAGUGCGUUGCUGGCGGGGAAGACGGACUGAUCUUCUGGAAAAUGAUGAAGCAUCUCUUCAGAGACACCAGAUGGCACGACAGCCGCACUCCUGGUCCUCCCAGGUCCACGUCCUCAUCUUUGUGACCUCCCCCAAGAAGAAGAAAGAGGAGGAGGAGGAAGAGGAGGAGUGGGAGGAGAAGGAGAGGAGGAGGAGAAGGAGGAAGAGGAGAGGGUCUAAUUUGUGUUGUCCAUAUGUUCACUGGAGCAUGGCCCAACUCCCCCCACUAGCCCCUAAGCUCUGUGUUAUGAUUUAACAAAAGUCAUCCAUCUAUAUUUGCUCCUUGUCUCUGGUUCCUCCUAAAAACCUUGGAAACUCUGGAGUCUUGUCAUUCCUCUGUGACCUCUGGAGUCAACGGGUGUGUCCUUUAUCAUUCCCACUAAGUCCUUCCGCCUUGUCUGACCUUGUGCCAACAGUGACUCAGAACAGACUUUAGAUGGACUCAAAGAGGAGCUGCCACACCAGGAGGGCUGAGAACGUAACUGGAGGGCUGGAGCCGUCGGCUGCCGAGAACUAGUUGCUUCCCUUGUCACUGAGGCGAAACACCAACGACUUAAGGGAGAGAGGACUUAUUCUGUGAUGGUUUCAGGGGAUACUGCUUCUCAGGUGAAUGGAUGUAUCUGACAGUCAGUAGAGUGGGGGUGUGUCUGUCAGUAGAUGGGGUGUAUCUGUCAGUAGAUGGGGUGUAUCUGUCAGUAGAUGGGGUGUAUCUGUCAGUAGAUGGGGUGUAUCUGUCAGUAGUUCUGAGAGCCGCAGGAGACAUCUCCUCACACUUUAGCAGACCAGAAAGCAAAGAAAUGGACAGAAGCAGAGCCAAGCCCAAGACCCAUCUCCAGGGCCUAAGUCCACAGCUGGGUUCCUAGCCCCAGAGGUUCCAUAACCUCCCAAACAGCAAGCACCUCCAGCCAGAGACCAAAUGCCCCCAAACAUGAGCCUGUGGGUGGCAUUUCACAGUGGCAUCAUAGCACCCACUUCCACCUCCAGGGAGGGAAGAGGGGCCGAAGUCUAGUCCCAUGCUUAGUAGUGAACUCCAUUGAGCUUCCCAGUUGAUGGCACAUAAUGUGAGAGGGGUCAUGUCACACACCCAGGGACAGAGCGGCCACCUCUCCUUCAGACUUCACCCAGAUUGUCUCUACUAAGACUGUUUCUAAAGCUGGGCACCGUGCACGGACCUGUUAUCCCAGGAAAGGCCCAGGAAUCAAGAGCUCAGGGCUAGCCUCCUCUAUAUAACAUGUUUAAGUCUAGCCUGGGCUACAAGAGACCCUAUCUCAAAAUAGUAACAACAAUAAGAAGCCAACAAUAAGAAAAACCAACACAACCCCACAAAACAAGCGUGUGGCUGUUCCUAAUGUGUACCAUUUACAAUAGGAUGGCGCUAAGCCUUUGCUGGGUUCUGUGAGUUGGAGCAAGUCCUCAGUUCUGAAGCGGGGUCUUGGGAACCCUGAACUGACAGUCACACUGGUUAGUAAGAGCCCUGGGUAAACCCCUGGGAUUACCCAUGCUGGUGUGCUGUGGGCCAGAGUUCCAGAUCUGCGGGUGCAAACUGCAGGUACUGUGAGAACCCAGUGUGACUGCUGGGCGUCCAGCUGGUGCUGAGGAAGUGCUGAAACACCCUGGGGGGCAGGGAGCACUCUCACAUUGUGUGAAAACGUUGUGAAUACUGCCAGCAAGACCGUAGACCUUGAAUACCAAAUAGAAGCAAUUGUGUUACUAGAACACAUCAUUGUCAAGGGAGAUUAACGCAGUGCUUCUAACCUACGGGGUUGCAACCCCUUUGGGAAUUGAAGAACCCUUUCACAGGGGUUAUAUAUCAGAUAGCCUGCUGCUGGAGGGCUUCUCUCCAGGUUCCCCAAGCCCCGCAGUCCCACAAUCCACAUAUAAAAUA
Molecule: non-coding RNA, 2312 nt
Organism: Peromyscus maniculatus bairdii (prairie deer mouse)
Lineage: Eukaryota; Metazoa; Chordata; Mammalia; Rodentia; Cricetidae
Source: RefSeq, a predicted model, not a curated record